AGAGUUUGAUCCUGGCUCAGGACGAACGCCGGCGGCGUGCUUAACACAUGCAAGUCGAACGGAAAGGCCCUGCUUUUGUGGGGUGCUCGAGUGGCGAACGGGUGAGUAACACGUGAGUAACCUGCCCUUGACUUUGGGAUAACUUCAGGAAACUGGGGCUAAUACCGGAUAGGAGCUCCUGCUGCAUGGUGGGGGUUGGAAAGUUUCGGCGGUUGGGGAUGGACUCGCGGCUUAUCAGCUUGUUGGUGGGGUAGUGGCUUACCAAGGCUUUGACGGGUAGCCGGCCUGAGAGGGUGACCGGCCACAUUGGGACUGAGAUACGGCCCAGACUCCUACGGGAGGCAGCAGUGGGGAAUAUUGCACAAUGGGCGGAAGCCUGAUGCAGCAACGCCGCGUGCGGGAUGACGGCCUUCGGGUUGUAAACCGCUUUCGCCUGUGACGAAGCGUGAGUGACGGUAAUGGGUAAAGAAGCACCGGCUAACUACGUGCCAGCAGCCGCGGUAAUACGUAGGGUGCAAGCGUUAAUCGGAAUUACUGGGCGUAAAGCGUGCGCAGGCGGUCCGCUAAGACAGAUGUGAAAUCCCCGGGCUUAACCUGGGAACUGCAUUUGUGACUGGCGGGCUAGAGUAUGGCAGAGGGGGGUAGAAUUCCACGUGUAGCAGUGAAAUGCGUAGAGAUGUGGAGGAAUACCGAUGGCGAANGCAGCCCCCUGGGCCAAUACUGACGCUCAUGCACGAAAGCGUGGGGAGCAAACAGGAUUAGAUACCCUGGUAGUC
RNAcentral lists this ribosomal RNA (776 nucleotides) under uncultured bacterium. Its description in RNAcentral is "bacterial SSU rRNA". It matches the Rfam family "Bacterial small subunit ribosomal RNA", at positions 8 to 795 of the family's 1533-position model. The record is from RNAcentral.